GACGAACGCUGGCGGCGUGCUUAACACAUGCAAGUCGAACGGAAAGGCCUCUUUCGGGGGGUACUCGAGUGGCGAACGGGUGAGUAACACGUGAGUAACCUGCCCUUGACUUUGGGAUAACUUCAGGAAACUGGGGCUAAUACCGGAUAGGAGCUCCUGCUGCAUGGUGGGGGUUGGAAAGUUUCGGCGGUUGGGGAUGGACUCGCGGCUUAUCAGCUUGUUGGUGGGGUAGUGGCUUACCAAGGCUUUGACGGGUAGCCGGCCUGAGAGGUUGACCGGCCACAUUGGGACUGAGAUACGGCCCAGACUCCUACGGGAGGCAGCAGUGGGGAAUAUUGCACAAGGGGUGGAAGCCUGAUGCAGCAACGCCGUGUGCGGGAUGACGGCCUUCGGGUUGUAAACCGCUUUCGCUCAUGACGAAGCUUUGUGUGACGGUAGUGGGUAAAGAAGCACCGGCUAACUACGUG
RNAcentral lists this ribosomal RNA (467 nucleotides) under uncultured bacterium. RNAcentral's name for it is "partial 16S ribosomal RNA". It matches the Rfam family "Bacterial small subunit ribosomal RNA", at positions 28 to 507 of the family's 1533-position model. The record is from RNAcentral.